GUAGGGGGCGAGCGUUGUCCGGAAUCAUUGGGCGUAAAGCGCGUGUAGGCGGCUCGAUAAGUCUGGUGUGAAACCUUGGGGCUUAACCCCAAGCCUGCACUGGAUACUGUCGAGCUUGAGUCCGGGAGGGGAGAGCGGAAUUCCUAGUGUAGCGGUGAAAUGCGCAGAUAUUAGGAAGAACACCGGUGGCGAAGGCGGCUCUCUGGAACGGUACUGACGCUGAGACGCGAAAGCGUGGGGAGCGAACAGGAUUAGAUACCCUGGUAGUCCACGCCGUAAACGAUGGGCACUAGAUGUGGGCGGUGUCGACUCCGUCCGUGUCGAAKCUAACGCAUUAAGUGCCCCGCCUGGGGAGUACGGCCGCRAGGCUA
RNAcentral lists this ribosomal RNA (371 nucleotides) under uncultured bacterium. RNAcentral's name for it is "bacterial SSU rRNA". It matches the Rfam family "Bacterial small subunit ribosomal RNA", at positions 527 to 896 of the family's 1533-position model. The record is from RNAcentral.